AUCGCUUCUUGGCCUUUUGGCUAAGAUAAAGUGUAGUAUCUGUUCUUUUAUUUAAAAUAUUUACUAUUUACUUGAAAGUCAGAAUUACAGAGAGAAAGAAGAGAGAGAGAGACACAUCCUCC
Small nuclear RNA from Oryctolagus cuniculus (rabbit), 122 nucleotides. Its record names the gene U2. It matches the Rfam family "U2 spliceosomal RNA". Rfam says of the family: U2 is a small nuclear RNA (snRNA) component of the spliceosome (involved in pre-mRNA splicing). The record is from Ensembl. NCBI's taxonomy places the organism in Eukaryota, Metazoa, Chordata, Mammalia, Lagomorpha, Leporidae.